AUUUUUUUGGCAGCACAUAUACUAAAGUUGGAAUAGUGUAGAGAAGAUUAGCAUGACUCUUUGCACAAGGAUAACAUGCACAUUUGUGAAAUAUUCCAUAUAAAA
Small nuclear RNA from Antechinus flavipes (yellow-footed antechinus), 105 nucleotides. The record is from RefSeq and is a predicted model, not a curated record. Lineage: Eukaryota; Metazoa; Chordata; Mammalia; Dasyuromorphia; Dasyuridae.